GAUGAAGAACGUAGCGAAAUGCGAUAAGUAGUGUGAAUUGCAGAAUUCAGUGAAUCAUCGAAUCUUUGAACGCACCUUGCGCCCUUUGGCCAUUCCGAAGGGCAUGCCUGUUUGAGUAUCAUGAACACCUCAACUCUUUAUGGUUUUCCAUGAUGAGCUUGGACUCUGGGGGUUUUGCUGGCUCACAGUCGGCUCCUCUAAAAUGAAUCAGCUUACCAGUGUUUGGUGGGUAUCAUGGGCGUGAUAACUAUCUACGCUUGUGGUUUUUCCACCAGGUAACCUUCAGCAGUGGAGGUUCGCUGGAGCUCAUAGAUGUCUCUCCUCAGUGAGGACAGCCCUUUGAAUGUUUGAUCUCAAAUCAGGUAGGACUACCCGCUGAACUUAAGCAUAUCAAUAAGCGGAGGA
This 405-nucleotide unclassified non-coding RNA is filed under the name soil metagenome. RNAcentral describes it as "partial contains 5.8S ribosomal RNA, internal transcribed spacer 2, and large subunit ribosomal RNA". The stretch from base 1 to 121 matches the Rfam family "5.8S ribosomal RNA", at positions 35 to 154 of the family's 154-position model. The record is from RNAcentral.